Molecule: ribosomal RNA, 422 nt
Filed under: uncultured Bifidobacterium sp.
Lineage: Bacteria; Bacillati; Actinomycetota; Actinomycetes; Bifidobacteriales; Bifidobacteriaceae
Description: bacterial SSU rRNA
Rfam family: Bacterial small subunit ribosomal RNA
Source: RNAcentral
GGRAARRWUUCAUCGGUAUGGGAUGGGGUCGCGUCCUAUCAGGUAGUCGGCGGGGUAACGGCCCACCGAGCCUACGACGGGUAGCCGGCCUGAGAGGGCGACCGGCCACAUUGGGACUGAGAUACGGCCCAGACUCCUACGGGAGGCAGCAGUGGGGAAUAUUGCACAAUGGGCGCAAGCCUGAUGCAGCGACGCCGCGUGCGGGAUGACGGCCUUCGGGUUGUAAACCGCUUUUGAUCGGGAGCAAGCCUUCGGGUGAGUGUACCUUUCGAAUAAGCACCGGCUAACUACGUGCCAGCAGCCGCGGUAAUACGUAGGGUGCAAGCGUUAUCCGGAAUUAUUGGGCGUAAAGGGCUCGUAGGCGGUUCGUCGCGUCCGGUGUGAAAGUCCAUCGCUUAACGGUGGAUCUGCGCCGGGUACGG